UAAAGAAUUUCGGUCAUCGAUGGGGAUGCGUUCCAUUAGCUAGUUGGCGGGGUAACGGCCCACCAAGACAUCGAUGGAUAGGGGUUCUGAGAGGAAGGUCCCCCACAUUGGAACUGAGACACGGUCCAAACUCCUACGGGAGGCAGCAGUGAGGAAUAUUGGUCAAUGGGCGCUAGCCUGAACCAGCCAAGUAGCGUGAAGGAUGACUGCCCUAUGGGUUGUAAACUUCUUUUAUAUGGGAAUAAAGUGCAGUAUGUAUACUGCUUUGCAUGUACCUUAUGAAUAAGGAUCGGCUAACUCCGUGCCAGCAGCCGCGGUAAUACGGAGGAUCCGAGCGUUAUCCGGAUUUAUUGGGUUUAAAGGGAGCGUAGGCGGGUUGUUAAGUCAGUUGUGAAAGUUUGCGGCUCAACCGUAAAAUUGCAGUUGAUACUGGCAUCCUUGAGUACAGUAGAGGUAGGCGGAAUUCGUGGUGUAGCGGUGAAAUGCUUAGAUAUCACGAAGAACUCCGAUUGCGAAGGCAGCCUGCUGGACUGUAACUGACGCUGAUGCUCGAAAGUGUGGGUAUCAAACAGGAUUAGAUACCCUGGUAGUCCACACAGUAAACGAUGAAUACUCGCUGUUUGCGAUAUACAGUAA
Molecule: ribosomal RNA, 636 nt
Filed under: uncultured bacterium
Lineage: Bacteria
Description: bacterial SSU rRNA
Rfam family: Bacterial small subunit ribosomal RNA
Source: RNAcentral